CCUUAGCUCAGUUGGUAGAGCGGUCGGCUCAUAACCGAUUGGUCGUAGGUUCGAGUCCUGCAGGGC
RNAcentral lists this transfer RNA (66 nucleotides) under Aneurinibacillus aneurinilyticus. It matches the Rfam family "tRNA", at positions 5 to 66 of the family's 71-position model. From Rfam's summary of the family: Transfer RNA (tRNA) molecules are approximately 80 nucleotides in length. Lineage: Bacteria; Bacillati; Bacillota; Bacilli; Caryophanales; Paenibacillaceae. The record is from RNAcentral.